UACAGAGGUCUCAAGCGUUGUUCGGAUUCAUUGGGCGUAAAGGGUGCGUAGGCGGGUUGGUAAGUCAGUGGUGAAAUCUUCAAGCUUAACUUGGAAACUGCCGUUGAUACUAUCAAUCUUGAAUAUUGUGGAGGUAAGCGGAAUAUGUCAUGUAGCGGUGAAAUGCUUAGAUAUGACAUAGAACACCGAUAGCGAAGGCAGCUUGCUACACAAUAAUUGACGCUGAGGCACGAAAGCGUGGGGAUCAAACAGG
This 253-nucleotide ribosomal RNA is filed under the name uncultured bacterium. RNAcentral's name for it is "partial 16S ribosomal RNA". It matches the Rfam family "Bacterial small subunit ribosomal RNA", at positions 524 to 776 of the family's 1533-position model. The record is from RNAcentral.